Molecule: long non-coding RNA, 532 nt
Organism: Haplochromis burtoni (Burton's mouthbrooder)
Lineage: Eukaryota; Metazoa; Chordata; Actinopteri; Cichliformes; Cichlidae
Exons: 2
Source: RefSeq, a predicted model, not a curated record
GUGGCUUCAAAGUCUAAAUAGAUUCUACAAAAGUAAUUAAAAUUAAGAGUAAUGUUGUGACAUGUGCAGCUGGAAUGGAGGAAAACCUGUUUUAUAGCUUUUGAGCUGCUGGCAGGAUGAAAGUCUAACUCUGGAAUGAAGCACACCUAGGCUACAGUAAAGAGAGACGCACAGACGAUCAGACUGAGCUCAGACCAAACUAGCAGCUUCCUCUGAGUGAGUCCAGCUACAGGAAAGAAAAGUGGAAAACUCCAACACUGCUGCUUCAAGCUGCUGACGCUCCACACACUGAAUGUGAGUUUGAGCAAAAACACGACUCAAAGGAAGUUUCAGUGAAGGUGGUAGAGGAGGGAGGGGAGCCAGGACUGACUGUACUUCCUGUCUGCUGUUUUCAGCUUCACUCACAGACUCAAUGGCUUCCAGAUCAGAGGAGGAUCUCUGCUGUCCGGUCUGUCAGGAGGUCUUCAGAGAUCCUGUUCUUCUGUCAUGUAGCCACAGCUUCUGUAAAGACUGUCUGAAGAGAUGGUGGAGA